GUUGUUGUUGAUUCCACCCCGAACACACCCUUUCUCCUCCGAUCUCGGAAGCUAAGCAGGGUCAGGCCCGGUUAGUACCUGGAUGGGAGACCGGCCGGGAAGACUAUGGGCUGUAGGCU
This 119-nucleotide ribosomal RNA is filed under the name Prolemur simus (greater bamboo lemur). Lineage: Eukaryota; Metazoa; Chordata; Mammalia; Primates; Lemuridae. The record is from RNAcentral.